This 253-nucleotide ribosomal RNA is filed under the name uncultured bacterium. RNAcentral describes it as "partial 16S ribosomal RNA". It matches the Rfam family "Bacterial small subunit ribosomal RNA", at positions 99 to 353 of the family's 1533-position model. The record is from RNAcentral.
CGGACGGGUGAGUAAUGUCUGGGAAACUGCCUGAUGGAGGGGGAUAACUACUGGAAACGGUAGCUAAUACCGCAUAAUGUCGCAAGACCAAAGAGGGGGACCUUCGGGCCUCUUGCCAUCGGAUGUGCCCAGAUGGGAUUAGCUAGUAGGUGGGGUAACGGCUCACCUAGGCGACGAUCCCUAGCUGGUCUGAGAGGAUGACCAGCCACACUGGAACUGAGACACGGUCCAGACUCCUACGGGAGGCAGCAUG